CAAGCAGGCCAGGCAAUCGCGGGUGCGCGAUGAGCGUGCCUGAGGAAAGUCCGAGCUCCGCAGGGCAGGGUGCUGGGUAACGCCCAGUGGGGGUGACCCCAGGAAAGUGCCACAGAAACAUACCGCCUGCCGCAAGGCCGGCAAGGGUGAAAUGGCGAGGUAAGAGCUCACCGGCAGUCGGGUGACCGGCUGGCCGCGGUAAACCCCACCCGGAGCAAGACCAAGCAGGGGCGGGUGGCCCGCCUAUGUCCCGGGUUGGUCGCAUGAGGCGUCCGGUAACGGCCGCCCUAGAGAGAUGAUUGCCAGUCCGUUCGCGGACACAGAACUCGGCUUACAGGCCUGCUUGACAC
This 350-nucleotide RNase P RNA is filed under the name Chloroflexota bacterium. RNAcentral describes it as "RNase P RNA component class A". It matches the Rfam family "Bacterial RNase P class A". From Rfam's summary of the family: Ribonuclease P (RNase P) is a ubiquitous endoribonuclease, found in archaea, bacteria and eukarya as well as chloroplasts and mitochondria. Its best characterised activity is the generation of mature 5'-ends of tRNAs by cleaving the 5'-leader elements of precursor-tRNAs. The record is from RNAcentral. Lineage: Bacteria; Bacillati; Chloroflexota.